RNAcentral lists this ribosomal RNA (120 nucleotides) under Helianthus annuus (common sunflower). Lineage: Eukaryota; Viridiplantae; Streptophyta; Magnoliopsida; Asterales; Asteraceae. The record is from RNAcentral.
GGUUGCGAUCAUACCAGCACUAAUGCACCGGAUCCCAUCAGAACUCCGCAGUUAAGCGUGCUUGGGCGAGAGUUAGUACUAGGAUGGGUGACCCCCUGGGAAGUCCUCGUGUUGCAACCC